RNAcentral lists this ribosomal RNA (546 nucleotides) under uncultured bacterium. RNAcentral describes it as "bacterial SSU rRNA". It matches the Rfam family "Bacterial small subunit ribosomal RNA", at positions 102 to 683 of the family's 1533-position model. The record is from RNAcentral.
ACGGGUGCGUAACGCGUGGGAAUCUGCCCUUUGGUUCGGAAUAACAGCUGGAAACGGCUGCUAAUACCGGAUGAUGACGAAAGUCCAAAGAUUUAUCGCCAGAGGAUGAGCCCGCGUUGGAUUAGGUAGUUGGUGGGGUAAAGGCCUACCAAGCCGACGAUCCAUAGCUGGUCUGAGAGGAUGAUCAGCCACACUGGGACUGAGACACGGCCCAGACUCCUACGGGAGGCAGCAGUGGGGAAUAUUGGACAAUGGGCGCAAGCCUGAUCCAGCAAUGCCGCGUGAGUGAUGAAGGCCCUAGGGUUGUAAAGCUCUUUUACCCGGGAAGAUAAUGACUGUACCGGGAGAAUAAGCCCCGGGUAACUCCGUGCCAGCAGCCGCGGUAAUACGGAGGGGGCUAGCGUUGUUCGGAAUUACUGGGCGUAAAGCGCACGUAGGCGGCUUUGUAAGUCAGAGGUGAAAGCCUGGAGCUCAACUCCAGAACUGCCUUUGAGACUGCAUCGCUUGAAUCCAGGAGAGGUCAGUGGAAUUCCGAGUGUAGAGGUG